AAAAAGGGCUCUGUUAUGAAUGGCACACAUAGGACAACUCAAUUGCUCUUCGUGCAAAAUAAACAUUAAGAGAUUUCAGAAGCAUAAUUUUUUUGGUAGGUGGGCAGCUGGUGAUCAUUGGUCCCAGCACCUUU
This is a small nuclear RNA of Saimiri boliviensis boliviensis (Bolivian squirrel monkey), 134 nucleotides long. RefSeq annotates it as U11 spliceosomal RNA. NCBI's taxonomy places the organism in Eukaryota, Metazoa, Chordata, Mammalia, Primates, Cebidae. The record is from RefSeq and is a predicted model, not a curated record.